GAUUAAGAGAAGGAGAGGAAAUGAAGACGAUUUGUAAAGAUUGAGUCCCUGAUGAUGGGAGACAGAGGGGGGGAGGAGGAGGAUGUACAGUAUGUGAAAGAAGAUGGAUGAGGAGGGGAGAAAAAUGAAGCUAGAAAGAAAGUUUGCCACACUUGAACUAAAAAAAGCCCCACUGCACUUUGUUUAGGCGUAAAUGUUGCCUUGUAAAGAUACCAACACAGAAAUGCAAAAGAUCUCAUGACUACAACAGCGUAAUGAGACGCAACAAUGAGCGACGAGGAAGAAAAAGAGAGAGGACGGGAGUGAGGAAGAAGGCAGGAGUUGUGGGAGGAGGGAGAGGAUGCGAGAGAGGGUGACAGCCAAGUGGAGAGGAGACGGAUGGGAGCAAAGUGAAAGCUGAAGACAUCCACCACUGAUUGCAUCAACAGGUCUGAGCCCCUCCAGUGUGUUUUCGACUCGGGGAACAAAGGUGUCUGCGACUGAGAGAUGAAAACUGCGACAACUGAUGAAGAUGGUAUGGAGUUCAGACGUGCAUUUGUGUGGGCUGUCUAAUUGAGGAGAUUGUUUGAUUCCUCUCCCUCUGUGUUUCUUCCUCUGAAGACCUGUCAAACUCGCAAUCAGCGGAAAGCAACGUGCACGGACGGAUUGGAGAGAAAGAGUGGAGAUGGAAAGACGGCGUUUAGGAAGAAAAGGAGGGAGUUUACGCCCACCGCCUAAAGAGAUGAGAAGACAGGCAGAGGAGGGGAGAAUUUGUGGAGGAAGCAGAGUGUGUGUGAGUGCCAGAGCUCAUCAGCCUGUCAAACAUCCGUUAUAGACCACAAACCCACACAGCCACUGCACUGCUGAGGUCUAUCACUAAACAGGUGCACUUCCUUCACCUUCACACACACUUUCUGAUGCACUCUGAUCCAGCGUGCAUCUUCCCAGUGUGUUUGUGUGUGUGUGUAGGUGGCCACAUUUACGCACACCAAGUUUGUCCACAGGGCACAAAGCCGCCUUGGCUUAUUUCCAUGUAGCGGAAGGUGAUCCACACUGAGUCACUGUCAUUGAUCAGAAAAUAAAACCAGUCGGGUGGAUUCUUCAUAGCGAGAUGCUUCCUUCACAGCUCUCCUGAGCACCUAAACUGUUUUAGCACAAUCUGCACUCUCAGUCCAACCCACGUUUGAACCCGUAUUAUUCCUCACUGUGCUCGGAGUUUUGUAAUUCUGACUGCUGACGCACUGCAUCUAAAUUCAUCAUCCACUUUACCCGAGGGUGUUACAGCAGGGUUUUGUUUGUCUGUUUGUUUCUUUUAAUGCCUCAGAUACCCCACUCCCUCCACCCCAGAUAUAGGUGUAGUUUGAACCAGAGGACAUUGCAUAAAGUUGAGGUUAAUGCUUUUGUUGUGGGUGGGAAACAAAGCAGUGUGUGAUAUCUCUAAUUAGAAGUGUGAGUCAUUGUGUGAAAUCAGUGAAUUGUACGUUCGAAACCUUCACAAAUCCUGCACCUCAGAAUGCAAACUGUACUCCUGACGCUUUUGGUUUCGUUAACAGUUUCUCCAUCUUCACAUAUAUUUGCACCCGAAUUAGCCGUUUGCGAGGCUUAAACGUCUGUGACAUCUGCCUGCAUCCUACCAAUGAGAAUGAUGAUAUCUGUGUUACUAAUGUGAUCCUUGUUGUGAUGCAGAAUUGUGACUCCGGGUAGAUUAUAUGCUAUUUUAAGACGUAACCUUUCCUCACCUUUUUAACACAGAAAAUGAGUUUCUAUGGGGAUACUGGUGUAUAAGAAUGUUAAUUAGUGGAACUCAUGCACAUUUAUAUUUGUGGCGUAAAAUAUGAACAUGUUGGGCCACUUGUAUGUUUAUAAUCACUAGAAUAUUGUCACAUUUUUGGGGAUAUUUCAGUAAUAUAGAGGUCCACAGUCACUCUAAGCUCUAAUUGGAAGCAACCAAUAAACAGUACAUACCCUAGAAUUGAUCCUGGUUAUGUCUUAUAAUAAAACAGCAAGUGGGAAUGUAAAGAAGACAUUAUUAGCAGCUGAAUAC
Molecule: long non-coding RNA, 2023 nt
Organism: Amphiprion ocellaris (clown anemonefish)
Lineage: Eukaryota; Metazoa; Chordata; Actinopteri; Pomacentridae
Source: Ensembl